CUCGGGGCUUCUUCACUUCCGCCGGGAAGGGCCACCUCCGAGGUGCUCGGGCCUUGUGGGCGAGUCUCAAAACUCGGUGACUCCGUCCAAGGCGGGGACAGAUUAAGUCCCACCUCCGACGGGGUACCGCGCUGCGCCCGGCUCGACGGCGCCCUCUUCAGACUGUGGAUCCCAAAGCGUGGAAAGCUUGGGGGCCUAACCCAGCCAGGAACCUUGAUCCUUGGCCCAGAGAAGCCCGGCCCUAGCCCUUCCCUGAAGUCCGCGUGCCGGCCGAGGGCACAGUCCGCGCUGCAGAUUUCUGGACACUGUCCUCUCCAGUGGCUCCAACCUAACGCUGCCCAUCCUCUUUGUGCCCUCGACACCUUCUUCUUGUCCUUCCCAGGACCCCGAAAGACAAUGUGGAGCCUCAGUAGGCCGUUUCCUCAGGGCGUCAGCAGCUACUCAAAUUCCCCCUUAAGCGGUGCCUGGGAGGAGCGACCUCUGCUCCCCCCCCCCCCCACACACACACACACACCCGCCUCCCAGGAGCGGCCUCCCCCGCACCAAUAGCUCCCUUCCCUCGGGCCUCACCCCUUCCCGUCCCCUCCCACCUCCACCUCCGCCCCUCUUUCCAGGCCUAGCCAUUCCAGGUGCACCUUCCCGGGGGAACCCGGAGGAAAGGAAGGAGAAAGGGAGGCAAGGAGGGAGCCGGCUCUCGGGCAUCCUCCCAGAUGCGUCUGAGCCGCCUGAAAGUGUGAAGCAGAGGCUGCCCCUGUCCGGUCUGGCUUAGAGAGCCCGAAUUAGCUUUUGUCAGUAGCCCCCUACCCCAGUUCAAGAGUCCCCACAUCUCCAGCCCCUCCCGCACAACGCUGCAGCCGCGGGAGAGCCCGUCCCUUCCACGUGCCAGCAGACCCGCCCCCGCCCGGCCCCCGCACCCUCAGGGCGCUGGGUUAAUCCCGGGCCUCCGUGGCGAAGGGGUGCGAGAUCGUGUUUCAAGCGCCCCCUGCCGCCUCUCCGGACACCAGGAGGCGGCCCCAAUGCAGACCCCGGCCGGGCAGGGACGCCCCUGCAGAUGGGCCGGGGCGGAGCAGCAAAGCAGGGCACCGCCCUCGGCCCGCCCGCCGAGGAGGAGACGCUAGCGGGAGGCUGAGCCUGCGGCGCGCGCCCGGGGACCCGUCGCACUCUGCACUCGGCCGCCUGGGCUGAGGGGACGGGACGGGUGCGGGCGCGGGCUCAGCGGGCCGGGAGCUGAGUCAAGGCCGAGAAGCAGAGGGAGGCAAGAGGACAGUGCACCGAGAUGGCGGCUGCAACGGCUGCGGCGGCCGCGGCGGCGGCGGCGGGGGAAGGGAUGGAGCCUCGAGCGCUGCAGUACGAGCAGACCCUGAUGUAUGGCCGGUACACUCAGGAACUCGGGGCCUUUGCCAAAGAGGAAGCUGCUCGUAUUCGCCUGGGAGGGCCUGAGCCCUGGAAGGGGUCCCCUUCUGCCCGGGCUACCCCAGAGCUCCUAGAAUAUGGACAGAGCCGAUGUGCCAGAUGUCGCAUUUGUUCUGUACGCUGCCACAAGUUCCUGGUGUCCAGGGUCGGUGAAGACUGGAUCUUCCUGGUUCUGUUGGGGCUCCUCAUGGCACUGGUCAGCUGGGCUAUGGACUAUGCCAUCGCUGUCUGUCUACAGGCUCAGCAAUGGAUGUCCCGGGGCUUAAACACCAACAUCUUACUCCAGUACCUGGCUUGGGUUACCUACCCCGUGGUCCUCAUCACUUUCUCUGCUGGAUUCACCCAGAUCCUGGCCCCACAGGCUGUCGGGUCUGGCAUCCCCGAAAUGAAAACCAUCCUUCGGGGAGUGGUGCUGAAAGAAUACCUCACCCUCAAGACCUUUGUAGCUAAGGUCAUUGGGCUAACCUGUGCCCUGGGCAGUGGGAUGCCCCUUGGCAAAGAGGGACCCUUUGUGCACAUUGCCAGCAUGUGUGCCGCCCUUCUCAGCAAGUUCCUCUCCCUCUUUGGGGGUAUCUAUGAGCAUGAGUCCCGGAACACGGAGAUGCUAGCUGCUGCAUGCGCAGUAGGAGUGGGCUGCUGCUUUGCCGCACCAAUCGGAGGGGUCCUAUUCAGCAUUGAAGUCACCUCCACCUUCUUCGCUGUUAGGAACUACUGGCGGGGCUUCUUUGCGGCCACCUUCAGUGCCUUCAUCUUUCGGGUCUUGGCAGUGUGGAACCGUGAUGAAGAAACCAUCACAGCUCUCUUCAAAACUCGGUUCCGACUCGACUUCCCAUUUGACCUGCAAGAGCUGCCAGCCUUUGCUGUCAUUGGCAUUGCUAGUGGCUUCGGGGGAGCCCUCUUUGUCUACCUGAACCGGAAGAUUGUCCAGGUGAUGCGGAAGCAAAAAACCAUCAACCGCUUCCUCAUGAGGAAACGGCUGCUCUUCCCGGCACUGGUGACUCUGCUCAUCUCCACUCUGACCUUCCCCCCUGGCUUUGGACAGUUCAUGGCCGGACAGCUCUCACAGAAGGAGACCCUAGUCACUCUGUUUGACAACCGGACGUGGGUCCGCCAGGGCCUGGUUGAGGAUCUAGAGCUACCCAGCACUUCACAGGCCUGGAGCCCACCACGUGCCAAUGUCUUCCUUACUCUGGUCAUCUUCAUCCUCAUGAAGUUCUGGAUGUCUGCACUGGCUACCACUAUCCCAGUGCCCUGUGGGGCCUUCAUGCCUGUCUUUGUCAUUGUGUUCCCCUACUACCUCUUUCUCUUCCUAAAACCCUCCCUGAAGGAGCGGCAUUUGGGCGGCUGGUGGGCGAAAGCAUGGCCGCCUGGUUCCCAGAUGGGAUUCACACAGAUAGCAGCACCUACCGAAUUGUACCUGGAGGCUAUGCUGUGGUCGGGGCGGCUGCACUCGCAGGAGCAGUGACACACACAGUGUCCACAGCAGUGAUUGUCUUCGAGCUCACGGGCCAGAUCGCUCACAUUCUGCCUGUCAUGAUUGCUGUCAUCCUGGCUAAUGCUGUUGCCCAGAGCCUGCAGCCAUCGCUCUAUGACAGUAUCAUCCGCAUCAAGAAGCUGCCCUACCUACCUGAGCUGGGCUGGGGCCGCCACCAGCAGUACCGGGUGCGAGUCGAGGACAUCAUGGUUCGGGAUGUACCCCAUGUAGCCCUCAGCUGCACUUUUCGGGACCUGCGGUUGGCACUGCACAGAACCAAGGGCCGUAUGUUGGCCCUAGUGGAGUCUCCUGAGUCCAUGAUCCUACUGGGAUCCAUCGAACGCUCACAGGUGGUAGCACUACUAGGAGCCCAGCUGAGCCCAGCGCGCAGGCGGCAGCACAUGCAAAAGCUAAGAAAAGCCCAGCUGUCUCCACCGUCGGAUCAGGAGAGCCCCCCUAGCUCCGAGACAUCUAUCCGCUUCCAGGUGAACACAGAGGACUCGGGCUUCUCUGGAGCCCACGGGCAGACUCACAAGCCCCUGAAGCCUGCUCUAAAGAGAGGGCCCAGCAACAGUACAAGCCUGCAGGAAGGUACCACAGGCAACAUGGAGUCAGCAGGCAUUGCCCUCAGAAGCCUCUUCUGUGGCAGUCCACCUCUGGAGGCAACAUCAGAAUUGGAAAAGUCAGAAUCCUGUGACAAGCGCAAGCUGAAGCGGGUCCGAAUCUCCCUGGCGAGUGACUCAGACCCGGAAGCCGAGAUGAGUCCUGAGGAGAUCUUAGAGUGGGAAGAACAGCAGCUAGAUGAGCCAGUCAACUUCAGUGACUGCAAAAUCGACCCUGCCCCCUUCCAGCUGGUGGAGCGGACUUCUUUGCACAAGACCCACACCAUCUUCUCAUUGCUGGGAGUGGACCAUGCUUAUGUCACCAGCAUUGGCAGACUCAUUGGGAUUGUCACCCUAAAGGAGCUCCGGAAGGCCAUUGAAGGCUCUGUCACAGCACAGGGUGUUAAAGUCAGGCCACCCCUCGCCAGUUUCCGGGACAGUGCCACCAGCAGCAGUGACACAGAGACCACUGAGGUGCAUGCGCUCUGGGGGCCAAGAUCCCGCCACGGCCUCCCACGAGAGGGUACCCCCUCCGACAGUGAUGACAAGUGCCAGUGAACCCCUUACGGAUGGCCUGUAUUCCUUCUGCAAGCAGCAGUGACCAGAAACUGGAACCCAAGGCCACCCUAACUGCUGGGGGAUCAUCAAGUGUCCUGGCGGGAUGAGGUGGGGUUCUAUGGCCCCUGCCCCAUCUUUGAGAAAAGGGCAGAACUAAACUGGGUUUAUACUGGAGCCUCCAAUGACAAGAUGUAUAUAGAAAUUUACAAAGAUUUUUAUAUUAAUUUAAUAAAACAAUAAAUAGAAUAAACACCUAAUUAGCCACUCAUGUAUAGAACACUUGUGCUGUUGGCUCAUAUUUUCACCUUGGAUCCUCUUACCUGUUGCCCAAGCCUCUGAGAUUCAUUCUGCUGCCACUUACCAACCCCAGUGUCCUCGCAAUCUGCCAGCGGCCUCCACUGGCUGAUCAGCAACGCCCUGCCUGGGACAGGGCCCCCUAUCACUGUGGCUACAGCCUUCCAUUCAGCCAAGAAAAGCACUACCCUCUUUCCUCCCCCAAGGACAGCUACUCCCUCAUGACUGUCCAUUCAUUGGCACAAAUCUGGCUCCCCGGGUUGCCCCCUUGUGGUCCUCGAUGAAAGGACAAGGCCCUCCCAGCUCUGUAACAAGCAGAGCCCUUACUUUUUCCAGUUCCGCCCUACUGAGUCUCUGCAUGUGCUCGCACAACCUUGCCAUGCUGGGAAAGGGCCAGGGUGGAGGAGCAGCGAAGGGGGCAAGGGCACACUCUUUCAUCUUUUCCAGUGCCUCCCAAAGAAGAUCGGCUCAAAGAACAGACCAGAAACCCCCUGUCUUUAGGGGAAAAAAAAAA
This is an RNA transcript of Mus musculus (house mouse), 4855 nucleotides long. It is a transcript of the gene named chloride channel, voltage-sensitive 2, with no coding region annotated. NCBI's taxonomy places the organism in Eukaryota, Metazoa, Chordata, Mammalia, Rodentia, Muridae. The record is from RefSeq and is marked validated. The transcript is spliced from 25 exons.